This 372-nucleotide ribosomal RNA is filed under the name uncultured organism. Its description in RNAcentral is "bacterial SSU rRNA". It matches the Rfam family "Bacterial small subunit ribosomal RNA", at positions 526 to 896 of the family's 1533-position model. The record is from RNAcentral.
CAGAGGUCCCAAGCGUUGUUCGGAUUUACUGGGCGUAAAGGGAGCGUAGGUGGCACUCUAAGUCUGAUGUGAAAGCUCUGAGCUUAACUCAGAAAUGGCAUUAGAUACUAGUUUGCUUGAGGAUUGGAGGGGAGAUUGGAAUACUUGGUGUAGCAGUGAAAUGCGUAGAUAUCAAGUGGAACACCAGUGGCGAAGGCGAAUCUCUGGACAAUUCCUGACACUGAUGCUCGAAAGCUAGGGGAGCAAACGGGAUUAGAUACCCCGGUAGUCCUAGCUGUAAACGGUGCACGCUUGCUGUAGGUGGAAUCGACCCCGCCUGUAGCGAAGCUAACGCGUUAAGCGUGCCGCCUGGGAAGUACGGUCGCAAGAUUA